RNAcentral lists this ribosomal RNA (413 nucleotides) under Theileria orientalis. Its description in RNAcentral is "SSU rRNA". It matches the Rfam family "Eukaryotic small subunit ribosomal RNA", at positions 457 to 910 of the family's 1831-position model. Lineage: Eukaryota; Apicomplexa; Aconoidasida; Piroplasmida; Theileriidae. The record is from RNAcentral.
CAGGGAGGUAGUGACAAGAAAUAACAAUACGGGGCUUAAUGUCUUGUAAUUGGAAUGAUGGGAAUUUAAACCUCUUCCAGAGUAUCAAUUGGAGGGCAAGUCUGGUGCCAGCAGCCGCGGUAAUUCCAGCUCCAAUAGCGUAUAUUAAAAUUGUUGCAGUUAAAAAGCUCGUAGUUGAAUUUCUGCUGCAUUACAUAUCUCUUGUUUGAGUUUGUUUUUGUGGCUUAUUUCGGUUUGAUUUUUACUUUCCGGAUGAUUACUUUGAGAAAAUUAGAGUGCUCUAAGCAGGCUUUUGCCUUGAAUAGUUUAGCAUGGAAUAAUAAAGUAGGACUUUGGUUCUAUUUUGUUGGUUUUAGGUACCAAAGUAAUGGUUAAUAGGAACAGUUGGGGGCAUUCGUAUUUAACUGUCAGAG